GUAUGUAACCGGAAAGGCACGUCUAACUACGUGCCUAGCAGUCGAGGUAAUAAGUAGGUGGCAUGCGUCGUCCGAGAUUCAUAGGACGUAAAACGAUCGCAGGCGGUUUUUUAAGUCUGAUGUGAAAGUCUUUCGGUCUCAACUGACGAAGUGCAUCGGAAGCUGGGAAACUUGAGUGCAGAAGAGGACAGUGGAACUCCAUGAGUAGCGGUGAAAUGAGUAGAUAUAUGUAAGAACACCAGUGGCGAAGGGCGUCUGUCUGGUCUGUAACUGACGCUGAGGCUCGAAAGUAUGGGUAGCAAGCAGGAUCAGAUACCCUGGUAGUCCAUGCUGUAAACGAUGAAUGCUAAGUGUUGGAGGGUUUCCGCCGUUCAGUGCUGCAGCUAACGCAUUAAGCAUUCCGCCUGGGGAGUACGUCCGCAAGGCUGAAACUCAAAGGAAUUGACGGGGGCCCGCACAAGCGGUGGAGCAUGUGGUUUAAUUCGAAGCUACGCGAAGAACCUUACCAGGUCUUGACAUACUAUGCAAAUCUAAGAGAUUAGACGUUCCCUUCGGGGACAUGGAUACAGGUGGUGCAUGGUUGUCGUCAGCUCGUGUCGUGAGAUGUUGGGUUAAGUCCCGCAACGAGCGCAACCCUUAUUAUCAGUUGCCAGCAUUAAGUUGGGCACUCUGGUGAGACUGCCGGUGACAAACCGGAGGAAGGUGGGGAUGACGUCAAAUCAUCAUGCCCCUUAUGACCUGGGCUACACACGUGCUACAAUGGAUGGUACAACGAGUUGCGAACUCGCGAGAGUAAGCUAAUCUCUUAAAGCCAUUCUCAGUUCGGAUUGUAGGCUGCAACUCGCCUACAUGAAGUCGGAAUCGCUAGUAAUCGCGGAUCAGCAUGCCGCGGUGAAUACGUUCCCGGGCCUUGUUCACGCCGCCCGUCACACCA
RNAcentral lists this ribosomal RNA (934 nucleotides) under Lactiplantibacillus plantarum. Its description in RNAcentral is "bacterial SSU rRNA". It matches the Rfam family "Bacterial small subunit ribosomal RNA", at positions 475 to 1404 of the family's 1533-position model. The record is from RNAcentral. Lineage: Bacteria; Bacillati; Bacillota; Bacilli; Lactobacillales; Lactobacillaceae.